UGUGGGAGCUGGCUUGCCAGCGAUAGCGGUGGGUCAGGUUCAUCUAUUUCACUGAAAAUCCGCAAUCGCUGGCAAGCCAGCUCCCACA
This 88-nucleotide non-coding RNA is filed under the name Pseudomonas baetica. The record is from RNAcentral. Lineage: Bacteria; Pseudomonadati; Pseudomonadota; Gammaproteobacteria; Pseudomonadales; Pseudomonadaceae.